RNAcentral lists this ribosomal RNA (1390 nucleotides) under marine metagenome. Its description in RNAcentral is "bacterial LSU rRNA". It matches the Rfam family "Bacterial large subunit ribosomal RNA", at positions 921 to 2421 of the family's 2925-position model. The record is from RNAcentral.
AGGGGGACUCACCGUCUUACCAAACCUAACCAAACUCCGAAUACCGAGGAGUACUGCGUGGCAGACACACUAUGGGUGCUAAGGUCCAUAGUGGAGAGGGAAACAGCCCUAACCGCCAGUUAAGGUCCCCAAAUUAUUGCUAAGUUGAAAAGGAUGUGGAACGUCCAAAACAGCCAGGAGGUUGGCUUAGAAGCAGCCAUCCUUUAAAGAAAGCGUAACAGCUCACUGGUCUAAUUAAGAUGUUCUGUGCCGAAAAUGUAACGGGGAUUAAGCAAUAUACCGAAACUGCGGGUGCUAUUUAUAGCGCGGUAGCGGAGCGUUCCGUAAGCCUGUGAAGGAUAACCGUGAGGUUAUUUGGAGGUAUCGGAAGUGAGAAUGCUGACAUGAGUAACGAUAAAGAGUGUGAGAAACACUCUCGCCGAAAGUCCAAGGGUUCCUGCUUAAAGUUAAUCUGAGCAGGGUUAGCCGGCCCCUAACGCGAGGGCGAAAGCCGUAGUGGAUGGGAAUGAGGUUAAUAUUCCUCAGCCAGUUGGUAGUGACGGAUUUGGUAACCUGUAUUUUCUUAUUGGAUUGAGAAUGCAGCGAACAAGUUCCAGGAAAUAGCUCCAACAUUACUGACCGUACCCCAAACCGACACAGGUGGACGAGUAGAGAAUACUAAGGCGCUUGAGAGAACUAUGUUGAAGGAACUCGGCAAAAUACCUCCGUAACUUCGGGAGAAGGAGGCCCGGUCUUAAGGCAACUUUUGGUCGGGGGCACAAAAUUGGGGGUGGCGACUGUUUACUAAAAACACAGGACUCUGCGAAGCCGCAAGGCGACGUAUAGGGUCUGACGCCUGCCCGGUGCUGGAAGGUUAAGAGGAGGAGUGCAAGCUCUGAAUUGAAGCCCCAGUAAACGGCGGCCGUAACUAUAACGGUCCUAAGGUAGCGAAAUUCCUUGUCGGGUAAGUUCCGACCUGCACGAAUGGCGUAACGACUUCCCCGCUGUCUCCAACAUAGACUCAGUGAAAUUGAAUUUCCCGUGAAGAUGCGGGAUAACUGCGGUUAGACGGAAAGACCCCGUGCACCUUUACUACAGCUUUGCAGUGAUAUUAGUGAUGCUAUGUGUAGGAUAGGUGGGAGGCUUUGAAGCAUUAGCGCCAGUUAGUGUGGAGCCAUCCUUGAAAUACCACCCUUAUCCUUAUUGAUAUCUAACCGCGGUCCAUGAAACUGGAUCCGGGACCCUGCAUGGUGGGUAGUUUGACUGGGGCGGUCGCCUCCCAAAGAGUAACGGAGGCGCGCGAAGGUAGGCUCAGGCCGGUCGGAAAUCGGUCGUCGAGUGCAAUGGCAUAAGCCUGCCUGACUGCGAGACUGACAAGUCGAGCAGAGACGAAAGUCGGUCAUAGUGAUCC